GCAGUCGAGCGAACAGAUAAGGAGCUUGCUCCUUUGACGUUAGCGGCGGACGGGUGAGUAACACGUGGAUAACCUACCUAUAAGACUGGGAUAACUUCGGGAAACCGGAGCUAAUACCGGAUAACAUAUUGAACCGCAUGGUUCAAUAGUGAAAGGCGGCUUUGCUGUCACUUAUAGAUGGAUCCGCGCCGUAUUAGCUAGUUGGUAAGGUAACGGCUUACCAAGGCAACGAUACGUAGCCGACCUGAGAGGGUGAUCGGCCACACUGGAACUGAGCACCCCGUCCAGACUCCUACGGGAGGCAGCAGUAUGGAAUCUUCCGCAAUGGGCGAAACCCUGACGGAGCAACGCCGCGUGAGUGAU
This 363-nucleotide ribosomal RNA is filed under the name Staphylococcus warneri. RNAcentral's name for it is "bacterial SSU rRNA". It matches the Rfam family "Bacterial small subunit ribosomal RNA", at positions 57 to 409 of the family's 1533-position model. The record is from RNAcentral. Lineage: Bacteria; Bacillati; Bacillota; Bacilli; Caryophanales; Staphylococcaceae.